UGGGGAAUAUUGCACAAUGGGGGAAACCCUGAUGCAGCAACGCCGCGUGAAGGAAGAAGGCCUUCGGGUUGUAAACUUCUGUCCUAGGGGAAGAAACAAAUGACAUUACCCUUGGAGGAAGCCCCGGCUAACUACGUGCCAGCAGCCGCGGUAAUACGUAGGGGGCGAGCGUUAUCCGGAAUUAUUGGGCGUAAAGAGUGCGUAGGUGGCAUCUUAAGCGCAGGGUUUAAGGCAAUGGCUCAACCAUUGUUCGCCUUGCGAACUGGGGUGCUUGAGUGCAGGAGGGGAAAGUGGAAUUCCUAGUGUAGCGGUGAAAUGCGUAGAUAUUAGGAGGAACACCAGUGGCGAAGGCGACUUUCUGGACUGUUACUGACACUGAGGCACGAAAGCGUGGGGAGCAAACAGGAUUAGAUACCCUGGUAGUCCACGCCGUAAACGAUGAGCACUAGGUGUCGGGGUCGCAAGACUUCGGUGCCGCAGUUAACGCAUUAAGUGCUCCGCCUGGGGAGUACGCACGCAAGUGUA
RNAcentral lists this ribosomal RNA (525 nucleotides) under uncultured bacterium. RNAcentral describes it as "bacterial SSU rRNA". It matches the Rfam family "Bacterial small subunit ribosomal RNA", at positions 355 to 896 of the family's 1533-position model. The record is from RNAcentral.